GGACGAACGCUGGCGGCGUGCUUAACACAUGCAAGUCGAACGGAAAGGCCCUGCUUGCAGGGUACUCGAGUGGCGAACGGGUGAGUAACACGUGGGUGAUCUGCCCUGCACUUCGGGAUAAGCCUGGGAAACUGGGUCUAAUACCGGAUAGGAGCCAUUUUUAGUGUGAUGGUUGGAAAGUUUUUUCGGUGUAGGAUGAGCUCGCGGCCUAUCAGCUUGUUGGUGGGGUAAUGGCCUACCAAGGCGGCGACGGGUAGCCGGCCUGAGAGGGUGGACGGCCACAUUGGGACUGAGAUACGGCCCAGACUCCUACGGGAGGCAGCAGUGGGGAAUAUUGCACAAUGGGCGCAAGCCUGAUGCAGCGACGCCGCGUGGGGGAUGACGGCCUUCGGGUUGUAAACUCCUUUCGCUAGGGACGAAGCUUUUUGUGACGGUACCUAGAUAAGAAGCACCGGCUAACUACGU
This 465-nucleotide ribosomal RNA is filed under the name Corynebacterium tuberculostearicum. RNAcentral describes it as "bacterial SSU rRNA". It matches the Rfam family "Bacterial small subunit ribosomal RNA", at positions 27 to 506 of the family's 1533-position model. The record is from RNAcentral. RNAcentral also lists the same sequence under 1 other name. Lineage: Bacteria; Bacillati; Actinomycetota; Actinomycetes; Mycobacteriales; Corynebacteriaceae.